Salvia splendens (bonfire salvia) is the source of this 1196-nucleotide long non-coding RNA. RefSeq lists it as uncharacterized. The record is from RefSeq and is a predicted model, not a curated record. Lineage: Eukaryota; Viridiplantae; Streptophyta; Magnoliopsida; Lamiales; Lamiaceae. The transcript has 2 exons.
UUAAAAGAGUAUUAUUAUUAUUAUUAUUAUUUAAAAGGCACAUUUGGUAUAGUAUACAUUAUUUGAUGACAUUAUCCACACAAUCAUUAAAAUUUGAGUAUUGAGAGAUGAUGUCCAUCAACCAUCCAUCUCCACCAUUACCACUCCGUCUCCGUCUGCACCUCACCACCACGGCGGCGCUGCCUUGUAUUAUCCUCGCAGCCACCGCUCCACCGGCUGGGAAGCUCUCGGUUCUUCUUCAGACAGGUGGUGUAUGCCUUGUUGCGUAUUGGGUUGCAAAUUUUGUGGUGCCGGGAAUCGUUCUCAAGGAUUUUCAAUCCAAAGAGAAAGAGGAGAAUUCAAGUGAAGACGAAAGUUGAAUCAAACUUACUCUAAUUAAAUCCCAAAAAAAUAGAAAGAAACAUAAACAUAUCAAGAAACCAAGGUCUAAAAGAGAAUUUUCAAUCUUGAUCACAUGAAUAAUCAAGAAACAGCACCACAUUCUUUCAAAAUCAAUUCAUAUACACUAGAAAUCUAGAUCAAAGGGCAUUUCAUUCAUCAAUAAUUGUAUGUAUAUAUAAACAUGGAUGAUAGUUUUAUAACAAAUCAAAGCAUAUCAAACCCUCAUAUAUCAUCUCAAUCCUUUCUUGUCGAAACCCUAUAAAACGGAAUCCGAACACUUAGCUUUUGAUCAUGCUUCUUCGAAGCCGAAGCCUGUUGUUGUGAUGCCCUUGUUUUUAGAUAACACACAUCUCCUUCACACACAUAACCACUCCUCUCCGGUUUCUCGGAAAAGCACCUCUUCAAGAUGUCGAACGAAGGCAUCGCCAUGUUCUUGAAUCCUGAUCUCUCAAAUAUUUCCAACUACAACUCUUUCUUUGUGUUGGAAACUCCUCUUUCUUUAUAUCGAUGCCUUCAAAGCUUUCUCUACUUAUGUUUGGUGGGAAAGGCUAUAUAUUUUGUGGUGCAACAACCAACUACCUAUCUCUACAUCAUUGAAUUAUUCCAACGUUAUGGUCAAGAUAUGACUGCAGCGUGCAUGUAAUUAGCCACAUUUUUUAUUUGUAUUUUUAGGAAUUUAAUAUUGUCAAAGAGGGAACACAAUUACACAAUAUUGAUUUGUGAGUUAGAUUUGUACACGUUUCCCAAUGGAGAAUCAAUGGAUGUGUUGCAACACGGCUUUCUUCUUUUCUUUAAUGAGAAGUCAAAUUACAAAA